Molecule: long non-coding RNA, 1010 nt
Organism: Carassius auratus (goldfish)
Lineage: Eukaryota; Metazoa; Chordata; Actinopteri; Cypriniformes; Cyprinidae
Exons: 3
Source: RefSeq, a predicted model, not a curated record
UAAAGAUGCUUGUGCACUAAAUUCAGGUCUGUAUUCAGGAAUACGUGUCACUGUUUUCCGUGGCUCUGUCAGUCUCUCUGAUUUGAUCCAGGAAAUUAACAAAGGGAGACCAGGUGAAAACUAAGCUCGGCAUCUGUCAAAAGUCCAAGGAUGAGGAAAGCAUCACCAGACCCGACAGGAUCAUGUAUCUGCAAAAGGAUUUCCAUCGCCGCAAAUCAGCAGCACACUUCAGCUUGUGUUGUUCAGCUUUAACCUGGAAUAAUAUUCACAUUUAUCAUUUAGCAUGCGUAUUAUAACAAGUGCCUUGGUUUCUGGUUCUGGAUUAGUGAAGAGCUUGUGGAAGAGAUGUGUUGUCAUCUGUUUCCUGAAGAUAGAGAUGCUCUCAUCAGAUCAGAUGAAGGCUUCUGAGGGAACCGCUAGGUGGCGCUCAUUCAUUGUUAAACUUUCUCUAUACAUUUAUUCAGUUCAACAAUAACCUACUUUUACUAUUCAGUUAUCUCGAAGAAUUCAUAGAACAAAUGCUUUGUGACAAUAAGCAGGAAUUUCACACUCAAUCCAUCAGUAAGCUUGAGUUUACACAGAUCUAAAGUGUAUCAAACCUUUAAAACAAAAUUACAUGAGUUCUCAGGACAGUCAUUAUUUAAUUUAUGAAAUCUAUUAAUGGACAGGUUCCAUGUGAAGAAGAUCUGCACUACUCUUAUUGUACUUGACUUGUCAUGCACAUCAUCAAUGUACUGUAUUUGCACAUUAUAAUGUGAAAAGUGUGAAAAUUUGCAAGCAUUGUUUUGCCUCAAAACAAACUUUGUAUGAUCGUAAUUCAGCUCAGAACUGGAGAAUUUAGUUCAAAAGAAAUUAUUAGAAAUUUUUAAGAUGAAACUGAAUGGGGAAAAUACUUCCAUAUUUUAUGAAUCUGAUUGUCACUUUUGCACUUUUUUCAUGUCUGCAUGUUUGUAUACGUUGCUUUUAAUAACAGAAUUUAAAUAAAUUUAACAAAUGAUGUUUUAAGUAAA